GCGUUUUUCUAGCGAGCUUGGGAUAGUGAGAGCCAAGUAGAGCAAGGUAAGCAAGUGGCGCUUUCUCUCAGUAAAAAGCUGAGUAAAGUAAAAUAAAAUGAAGUAAUAAAUUAGGGUGGAACCGCGUUUCUAACG
Molecule: non-coding RNA, 135 nt
Organism: Streptococcus sp. HSISM1
Lineage: Bacteria; Bacillati; Bacillota; Bacilli; Lactobacillales; Streptococcaceae
Source: Rfam